UUCUCCUACGGGGCGCAGCAGUGGGGAAUAUUGCACAAUGGGGGAAACCCUGAUGCAGCGACGCCGCGUGAGUGAAGAAGUAAUUCGUUAUGUAAAGCUCUAUCAGCAAGGAAGAAAAUGACGGUACCUGAGUAAGAAGCCCCGGCUAACUACGUGCCAGCAGCCGCGGUAAUACGUAGGUGGCGAGCGUUGUCCGGAUUUACUGGGCGUAAAGGGAGCGUAGGCGGACUUUUAAGUGAGAUGUGAAAUACUCGGGCUCAACUUGAGUGCUGCAUUUUAAACUGGAAGUCUAGAGUGCAGGAGAG
RNAcentral lists this ribosomal RNA (305 nucleotides) under uncultured bacterium. Its description in RNAcentral is "bacterial SSU rRNA". It matches the Rfam family "Bacterial small subunit ribosomal RNA", at positions 334 to 656 of the family's 1533-position model. The record is from RNAcentral.